Molecule: ribosomal RNA, 492 nt
Filed under: uncultured bacterium
Lineage: Bacteria
Description: partial 16S ribosomal RNA
Rfam family: Bacterial small subunit ribosomal RNA
Source: RNAcentral
AGUGAACGCUGGCGGUAGGCCUAACACAUGCAAGUCGAACGGCAGCACAGUAAGAGCUUGCUCUUACGGGUGGCGAGUGGCGGACGGGUGAGGCAUACAUCGGAAUCUACUUUUUCGUGGGGGAUAACGUAGGGAAACUUACGCUAAUACCGCAUACGACCUACGGGUGAAAGCAGGGGAUCUUCGGACCUUGCGCGACUGAAUGAGCCGAUGUCGGAUUAGCUAGUUGGCGGGGUAAAGGCACACCAAGGCGACGAUCCGUAGCUGGUCUGAGAGGAUGAUCAGCCACACUGGAACUGAGACACGGUCCAGACUCCUACGGGAGGCAGCAGUGGGGAAUAUUGGACAAUGGGCGCAAGCCUGAUCCAGCCAUACCGCGUGAGUGAAGAAGGCCUUCGGGUUGUAAAGCCCUUUUGUUGGGAAAGAAAAGCAGCAGGUUAAUACCCCGCUGUUCUGACGGUACCCAAAGAAUAAGCACCGGCUAACUUCGUG